GUGCCAGCAGCCGCGGUAAUACAGAGAGUGCGAACGUUGCUCGGAAUAACUGGGCGUAAAGCGCGUGUAGGCGGCCUGGUAGGUCGACUGCGAAAGCCCACGGCUCAACCGUGGAAGUGCAGUCGAAACCGCCAGGCUCGAGUCCCGGAGAGGGUGGCGGAAUUCCCAGUGUAGAGGUGAAAUUCGUAGAUAUUGGGAGGAACACCGGUGGCGAAGGCGGCCACCUGGACGGGUACUGACGCUGAGACGCGAAAGCGUGGGGAGCAAACAGGAUUAGAUACCCCCGUAGUCC
This 292-nucleotide ribosomal RNA is filed under the name uncultured prokaryote. RNAcentral describes it as "partial 16S ribosomal RNA". It matches the Rfam family "Bacterial small subunit ribosomal RNA", at positions 505 to 796 of the family's 1533-position model. The record is from RNAcentral.